CCUACGGGAGGCAGCAGUGGGGAAUAUUGGACAAUGGGCGGAAGCCUGAUCCAGCCAUGCCGCGUGUGUGAAGAAGGCCUUUUGGUUGUAAAGCACUUUAAGCGAGGAGGAGGCUACUAGUACUAAUACUACUGGAUAGUGGACGUUACUCGCAGAAUAAGCACCGGCUAACUCUGUGCCAGCAGCCGCGGUAAUACAGAGGGUGCGAGCGUUAAUCGGAUUUACUGGGCGUAAAGCGUGCGUAGGCGGCUUUUUAAGUCGGAUGUGAAAUCCCCGAGCUUAACUUGGGAAUUGCAUUCGAUACUGGGAAGCUAGAGUAUGGGAGAGGAUGGUAGAAUUCCAGGUGUAGCGGUGAAAUGCGUAGAGAUCUGGAGGAAUACCGAUGGCGAAGGCAGCCAUCUGGCCUAAUACUGACGCUGAGGUACGAAAGCAUGGGGAGCAAACAGGAUUAGAUACCCUGGUAGUCCAUGCCGUAAACGAUGUCUACUAGCCGUUGGGGCCUUUGAGGCUUUAGUGGCGCAGCUAACGCGAUAAGUAGACCGCCUGGGGGAGUACGGUCGCAAGCUAAAACUCAAAAGGAUUGACGG
RNAcentral lists this ribosomal RNA (587 nucleotides) under uncultured bacterium. Its description in RNAcentral is "bacterial SSU rRNA". It matches the Rfam family "Bacterial small subunit ribosomal RNA", at positions 338 to 916 of the family's 1533-position model. The record is from RNAcentral.